This 154-nucleotide ribosomal RNA is filed under the name Brachymonas petroleovorans (nom. illeg.). Its description in RNAcentral is "Brachymonas petroleovorans partial 16S ribosomal RNA". It matches the Rfam family "Bacterial small subunit ribosomal RNA", at positions 337 to 484 of the family's 1533-position model. The record is from RNAcentral. Lineage: Bacteria; Pseudomonadati; Pseudomonadota; Betaproteobacteria; Burkholderiales; Comamonadaceae.
UCCUACGGGAGGCAGCAGUGGGGAAUUUUGGACAAUGGGGGCAAGCCUGAUCCAGCCAUGCCGCGUGCAGGAAGAAGGCCUUCGGGUUGUAAACUGCUUUUGUACGGAACGAAAAAGCCCUGGUUAAUACCUGGGGCUGAUGACGUACCGAAGA